Molecule: ribosomal RNA, 447 nt
Filed under: Vibrio cholerae
Lineage: Bacteria; Pseudomonadati; Pseudomonadota; Gammaproteobacteria; Vibrionales; Vibrionaceae
Description: bacterial SSU rRNA
Rfam family: Bacterial small subunit ribosomal RNA
Source: RNAcentral
UAAUUGAAGAGUUUGAUCAUGGCUCAGAUUGAACGCUGGCGGCAGGCCUAACACAUGCAAGUCGAGCGGCAGCACAGAGGAACUUGUUCCUUGGGUGGCGAGCGGCGGACGGGUGAGUAAUGCCUGGGAAAUUGCCCGGUAGAGGGGGGAUAACCAUUGGAAACGAUGGCUAAUACCGCAUAACCUCGCAAGAGCAAAGCAGGGGACCUUCGGGCCUUGCGCUACCGGAUAUGCCCAGGUGGGAUUAGCUAGUUGGUGAGGUAAGGGCUCACCAAGGCGACGAUCCCUAGCUGGUCUGAGAGGAUGAUCAGCCACACUGGAACUGAGACACGGUCCAGACUCCUACGGGAGGCAGCAGUGGGGAAUAUUGCACAAUGGGCGCAAGCCUGAUGCAGCCAUGCCGCGUGUAUGAAGAAGGCCUUCGGGUUGUAAAGUACUUUCAGUAGG